AUUGAACGCUGGCGGCAGGCUUAACACAUGCAAGUCGAGCGGGGUGAUGGUGCUUGCACUAUCACUUAGCGGCGGACGGGUGAGUAAUGCUUAGGAAUCUGCCUAUUAGUGGGGGACAACAUCUCGAAGGGGAUGCUAAUACCGCAUACGUCCUACGGGAGAAAGCAGGGGAUCACUUGUGACCUUGCGCUAAUAGAUGAGCCUAAGUCGGAUUAGCUAGUUGGUGGGGUAAAGGCCUACCAAGGCGACGAUCUGUAGCGGGUCUGAGAGGAUGAGCCGCCACACUGGAACUGAGACACGGCACAGACUCCUACGGGAGGCAGCAGUGGGGAAUAUUGGACAAUGGGGGGAACCCUGAUCCAGCCAUGCCGCGUGUGUGAAGAAGGCCUUAUGGUUGUAAAGCACUUUAAGCGAGGAGGAGGCUCUUUUGGUUAAUACCCAAGAUGAGUGGACGUUACUCGCAGAAUAAGCACCGGCUAACUCUGUGCCAGCCGCCGCCGUAA
Molecule: ribosomal RNA, 503 nt
Filed under: uncultured bacterium
Lineage: Bacteria
Description: partial 16S ribosomal RNA
Rfam family: Bacterial small subunit ribosomal RNA
Source: RNAcentral